GCUAAUUUACCAUGCUAUUAUUUAUACACAUACAAAAGAAAACUAUACAAAACCUACAAAAAACGGAAAAUUGAUAUGCAUCAGCAUAAUGAAGAGACGUUAAAAAGGUAUGAAGAAAUGGACGGUGAAGUGAUAUACCUAGGUGAAGGAAUCCAAGUUGGAAUGAAGUCGUGGCGCAUGACUAAAAAAAAAAGAAAUACACCUGUUUCUUAAGGGAUAUAGGAGGCUACUUAUGGAAGAAGCAUCAGCUCCCAAUGCGAUGCCUUGAUAUGUCGAAAACCAAAAACGUGUUGCCUGAAGGUUUGUAUGAAGAUUACCUAAAAGAGAACAAAAAGUAUAUAAACACUUGUCCGAUGACGACAGAGACAUAAUGAUCAAAAACUCAACAGAAAUUCUCACUAGUUUGAUUAGAGAUGAAAGGGGUCAGUUCAUUAAAAAAAAAAUACGUUUUUUUUCUUUUUAGUUUUAGUUUAGUUUUAUUCUAACAAAAUUUUAGUUUCACUUAAUGAAAAGGAUCUCUA
Molecule: long non-coding RNA, 521 nt
Organism: Nasonia vitripennis (jewel wasp)
Lineage: Eukaryota; Metazoa; Arthropoda; Insecta; Hymenoptera; Pteromalidae
Exons: 3
Source: RefSeq, a predicted model, not a curated record